RNAcentral lists this long non-coding RNA (2215 nucleotides) under Citrus x clementina. Its description in RNAcentral is "Citrus clementina (C. clementina) long non-coding RNA (CCLE_LNC006118)". The record is from RNAcentral. Lineage: Eukaryota; Viridiplantae; Streptophyta; Magnoliopsida; Sapindales; Rutaceae.
AAAAAUAGGCCGUGGGCCCAGCCGCGCCCAAAAAUAACCACCCGAAGGCCGGGGCGCCAAGUUCGUCCAGCGGAAAAAUGCCAUAAAAACGGGUGGGCUAUAGCCUUAGGGGGUGGGGCUGGCCAACAUCGUCCGCCGGACUUGGAAUGGCGCGAGACUUUGCGAUGCGCCUCCAUGUGCCAAAAAUAGGCCGUGGGCUCAGCCUCAGCCAAAAAUAACAGCCGGAAGGCCGGGGCGCCAAGUUCGUCUCGCGGAAAAAGGCCACAAAAACGGGUGGGCUAUAGCCUUGGGGGGUGGGGCUGGCCAACUUCGCCCGCCGGACUCGGAAUGGCGCAAUACUUUGCGAAGCGCCUCCGUGUGCCAUAAAGUGGCCGUGGGCACAGCCGCUCCCAAAAAUAACCGCCUGAAGGCCGGGGCGCCACGUUCGUCCACCGGAAAAAGCCAACAAAAACGGGUGGGCUAUAGCCUUGGGGGGUGGGGCUGGCCAACUUCGUCCGCCGGACUCGGAAUGGCGCGAGACUUUGCGAGGCACCUCAGUGUACCAAAAAUAGGCCGCGGGCCCAGCCGCGCCCAAAAAUAACCGCCCGAAGGCCGGGGCGCCAAGUUCGUCCAGCGGAAAAAUGCCACAAAAACGGGUGGGCUAUAGCCUUGGGGGGUGGGGCUGGCCAACUUUGUCCGCCGGAGUCGGAAUGGUGCGAGAAUUUGUGAGGCACCUCCGUGUGCCAAAAAUAGGCCGCGGGCACAGCCGCGCCAAAAAAUAACAGCCCGAAGGCCGGGGCGCCAAGUUCGUCCAGCGGAAAAAGCCCACAAAAACGGGUGGGCUAUAGCCUUGGGGGGUGGGGCUGGCCAACAUCGUCCGUCGGACUCGGAAUGGCGCGAGACUUUGCGAUGCGCCUCCGUGUGUGAAAAAUAGGCCGCGGGUGCAGCCGCAGCCAAAAAUAACAGCCCGAAGGCCGGGGCGCCAAGUUCGUCCAGCGGAAAAAUGCCACAAAAAUGGGUGGGCUAUAGCCUUGGGGGGUGGGACUGGCCAACUUCGUCCGCCGGACUUGGAAUGGCGCGAGACUUUGCGAGGUGCCUCCGUGUGCCAAAAAGUGGCCGCGGGCACAGCUGCACCCAAAAAUAACAGCCCAAAGGCCGGGGCUCCAAGUUCGUCCCGCGGAAAAAGGCCACAAAAACGGGUGGGCUAUAGCCUUGGGGGGUGGGGCUGGCCAACUUCGCCCGCCGAACUCGGAAUGGCGCAAUACUUUCCGAAGCGCCUCCGUGUGCCAUAAAGUGGCCGUGGGCACAGCCGCUCCCAAAAAUAACCGCCUGAAGGCCGGGGCGCCACGUUCGUCCACCGGAAAAAGCCAACAAAAACGGGUGGGCUAUAGCCUUGGGGGGUGGGGCUGGCCAACUUCGUCCGCCGGACUCGGAAUGGCGCGAGACUUUGCGAGGCACCUCAGUGUACCAAAAAUAGGCCGCGGGCCCAGCCGCGCCCAAAAAUAACCACCCGAAGGCCGGGGCGCCAAGUUCGUCCAGCGGAAAAAUGCCAUAAAAACGGGUGGGCUAUAGCCUUAGGGGGUGGGGCUGGCCAACAUCGUCCGCCGGACUUGGAAUGGCGCGAGACUUUGCGAUGCGCCUCCAUGUGCCAAAAAUAGGCCGUGGGCUCAGCCUCAGCCAAAAAUAACAGCCGGAAGGCCGGGGCGCCAAGUUCGUCUCGCGGAAAAAGGCCACAAAAACGGGUGGGCUAUAGCCUUGGGGGGUGGGGCUGGCCAACUUCGCCCGCCGGACUCAGAAUGGCGCAAUACUUUGCGAAGCGCCUCCGUGUGCCAAAAAGUGGCCGUGGGCACAGCCGCUCCCAAAAAUAACCGCCUGAAGGCCGGGGCGCCACGUUCGUCCACCGGAAAAAGCCAACAAAAACGGGUGGGCUAUAGCCUUGGGGGGUGGGGCUGGCCAACUUCGUCCGCCGGACUCGGAAUGGCGCGAGACUUUGCGAGGCACCUCAGUGUACCAAAAAUAGGCCGCGGACACAGCCGCGCCCAAAAAUAACCGCCCGAAGGCCGGGGCACCAAGUUCGUCCAGCGGAAAAAUGCCACAAAAACGGGUGGGCUAUAGCCUUAGGGGGUGGGGCUGGCCAACAUCGUCCGCCUGACUUGGAAUGGCGCGAGACUUUGCGAUGCACCUCCAUGUGCCAAAAAUAGGCCGUGGGCUCAGCCUCAGCCAAAAAUAACAGCCC